RNAcentral lists this ribosomal RNA (465 nucleotides) under uncultured Carnobacterium sp. RNAcentral's name for it is "bacterial SSU rRNA". It matches the Rfam family "Bacterial small subunit ribosomal RNA", at positions 338 to 795 of the family's 1533-position model. The record is from RNAcentral. Lineage: Bacteria; Bacillati; Bacillota; Bacilli; Lactobacillales; Carnobacteriaceae.
CCUACGGGCGGCUGCAGUAGGGAAUCUUCCGCAAUGGACGAAAGUCUGACGGAGCAACGCCGCGUGAGUGAAGAAGGUUUUCGGAUCGUAAAACUCUGUUGUUAAAGAAGAACAAGGAUGAGAGUAACUGCUCAUCCCCUGACGGUAUUUAACCAGAAAGCCACGGCUAACUACGUGCCAGCAGCCGCGGUAAUACGUAGGUGGCAAGCGUUGUCCGGAUUUAUUGGGCGUAAAGCGAGCGCAGGCGGUUCUUUAAGUCUGAUGUGAAAGCCCCCGGCUCAACCGGGGAGGGUCAUUGGAAACUGGAGAACUUGAGUGCAGAAGAGGAGAGUGGAAUUCCACGUGUAGCGGUGAAAUGCGUAGAUAUGUGGAGGAACACCAGUGGCGAAGGCGACUCUCUGGUCUGUAACUGACGCUGAGGCUCGAAAGCGUGGGGAGCAAACAGGAUUAGAUACCCUGGUAGUC